This 253-nucleotide ribosomal RNA is filed under the name uncultured bacterium. RNAcentral's name for it is "partial 16S ribosomal RNA". It matches the Rfam family "Bacterial small subunit ribosomal RNA", at positions 524 to 776 of the family's 1533-position model. The record is from RNAcentral.
UACGUAGGGUGCGAGCGUUGUCCGGAAUUAUUGGGCGUAAAGGGCUCGUAGGCGGUUUGUCGCGUCGGAAGUGAAAACGCGGGGCUUAACUCUGUGCUGGCUUUCGAUACGGGCAGACUAGAGGGAUGCAGGGGAGAACGGAAUUCCUGGUGUAGCGGUGAAAUGCGCAGAUAUCAGGAGGAACACCGGUGGCGAAGGCGGUUCUCUGGGCAUUCCCUGACGCUGAGGAGCGAAAGUGUGGGGAGCGAACAGG